This 253-nucleotide ribosomal RNA is filed under the name uncultured bacterium. RNAcentral describes it as "partial 16S ribosomal RNA". It matches the Rfam family "Bacterial small subunit ribosomal RNA", at positions 524 to 776 of the family's 1533-position model. The record is from RNAcentral.
GACGGAAGGUGCAAGCGUUGCUCGGAAUCACUGGGCGUAAAGGGUGCGUAGGCGGCUGUGCAAGUCUGGCGUGAAAGCCCCGGGCUCAGCCCGGGAAGUGCGCUCGAAACUGCACGGCUCGAGUGCCGGAGGGGAGAGUGGAAUUCCUGGUGUAGCGGUGAAAUGCGUAGAUAUCUGGAGGAACACCGGUGGCGAAGGCGGCAUCCUGGACCAACACUGACGCUGAGGAGCGAAAGCCAGGGGAGCAAACGGG